This 508-nucleotide ribosomal RNA is filed under the name Cyclophorus sp. NHMUK 20180431. RNAcentral's name for it is "partial 16S ribosomal RNA". It matches the Rfam family "Bacterial large subunit ribosomal RNA", at positions 1825 to 2597 of the family's 2925-position model. Lineage: Eukaryota; Metazoa; Mollusca; Gastropoda; Architaenioglossa; Cyclophoridae. The record is from RNAcentral.
GUCUCUUUGAAAGAAGUGUAUAAAGAGUCUGGCCUGCCCGGUGACAUAGUUUAACGGCUGCAGUAUCCUGACUGUGCAAAGGUAGCAUAAUAACUUGCCUUUUAAUUGGAGGAUAGAAUCAACGGCUUAACGAAAGCAAAACUGUCUUUUUUAUUUUUAUUAGAAAUUAUCUUUUAGGUUAAAAGGCCUAGAUGCAACUAAGGGACGAUAAGACCCUAUUGAGCUUUAAAAAAAUAAAAUAAUUGCUUGUUUAUUAAUAAAAUUAACAAUAAUUUUAAUAAUUUUGGUUGGGGCGACUGCGGGGUAUAAAAAACCUCCGUUUUAAAAAAAUAAUUUGUAUUUUCGAUCCAUAAUUUAUGACAAGACGAAUUAGUUACCAUAGGGAUAACAGCGCACCGCUUUUAGGAAGAUCCUAUUUCUAAAAGAGAUUGCGACCUCGAUGUUGGAUUAAGGUAUACUGGAAGGUGCAGGUGCUUUUCAAGUUAGUCUGUUCGACUAUUAAAUCUUU